AAUAGAUACCCUGGUAGUCCACGCCGUAAACGAUGGAUGCUAGCUGUUAUGCGUAUCGACCCGUGUAGUAGCGAAGCUAACGCGUUAAGCAUCCCGCCUGGGGAGUACGAACGCAAGUUUAAAACUCAAAGGAAUUGACGGGGACCCGCACAAGCGGUGGAGCGUGUUCUUUAAUUCGAGGCUAAGCGAAGAACCUUACCAGGGCUUGACAUCCUUGGAAUUUCUCCGAAAGGAGAGAGUACUUUAUUGGACCAAGUGACAGGUGCUGCAUGGCCGUCGUCAGCUCGUGUCGUGAGAUGUUUGGUUAAGUCCAUUAACGAGCGCAACCCUUAUGAAUAGUUGUAUUUUUUCUAUUCAGACUGCCCCGGUAACGGGGAGGAAGGGGGGGAUGAUGUCAGGUCAGUAUUACCCUUACGCCCUGGGCUAGAAACGCGCUACAAUGGCCGGUACAAUGCGCUGCCAACCCGCGAGGGGGAGCAAAUCGCAUCAAAGCCGGUCCCAGUUCGGAUAAGAGGCUGAAACUCGCCUCUUUGAAGCCGGAAUCGCUAGUAAUCGU
Molecule: ribosomal RNA, 556 nt
Filed under: uncultured bacterium
Lineage: Bacteria
Description: bacterial SSU rRNA
Rfam family: Bacterial small subunit ribosomal RNA
Source: RNAcentral